RNAcentral lists this ribosomal RNA (399 nucleotides) under uncultured bacterium. Its description in RNAcentral is "partial 16S ribosomal RNA". It matches the Rfam family "Bacterial small subunit ribosomal RNA", at positions 338 to 795 of the family's 1533-position model. The record is from RNAcentral.
CCUACGGGAGGCAGCAGUGGGGAAUUUUGCGCAAUGGGCGCAAGCCUGACGCAGCAACGCCGCGUGAAGGAAGAAGGCUUUCGGGUUGUAAACUUCUUUUCUGAGGGACGAAGAAAGUGAAGGUAACUUAGGAAUAAGCCACUGCUACCUACCUGCCAGCAGCCGCGGUAAUACGUAGGUGGAUUGUUACGUAAGUUGUGAAAGUUGGGGGCUCAACCGUAAAAUUGCAGUUGAAACUGGCAGUCUUGAGUACAGUAGAGGUUGGCGGAAUUUGUGGUGUAGCGGUGAAAUGCUUAGAGAUCACGAAGAACUCCGAUUGCGAAGGCAGUUCACUGGACUGCAACUGACACUGAGGCUCGAAAGUGUGGGUAUCAAACAGGAUUAGAUACCCGGGUAGUC